Molecule: ribosomal RNA, 500 nt
Filed under: uncultured bacterium
Lineage: Bacteria
Description: bacterial SSU rRNA
Rfam family: Bacterial small subunit ribosomal RNA
Source: RNAcentral
UAGUCCACGCCCUAAACGAUGUACACUAGAUCGAGGAGGUUUUGACGCCAUCUCGGUCGAAGCAAAAGCGUUAAGUGUACCGCCUGGGGAGUACGGUCGCAAGACUAAAACUCAAAGGAAUUGACGGGGCUCACACAAGCGGUGGAGCAUGUGGCUUAAUUCGAAGCAACGCGAAGAACCUUAUCCUGGGCUUGACAUCCACGGAUUACUGAUCUGAAAGGUGAUGGACACUCUUUGAGUGGAACGUGGACAGGUGCUGCAUGGCUGUCGUCAGCUCGUGCUGUGAAGUGUCGGGUUAAGUCCCUUAACGAGCGAAACCCCUGCCGUUAGUUGCUAACAUUUAGUUGAGGACUCUAGCGGGACUGCCGGUGUCAAACCGGAGGAAGGUGGGGACGACGUCAAGUCAUCAUGGCCCUUAUGCCCAGGGGCUGCACACGUGCUACAAUGGUACGGACAGAACGAAGCAAUACCGCGAGGUGGAGCAAAUCGUAAAAACCGUG